GAUAAGUUUAAUGUAUUUUGAAAGAAAUAAGUUUCUUUAUAAAUUUUAUAAAUUCAGUGUUUAUAAAGUCUACAGUUUUGUACAAUGAUGCCCUAGGCAUUUACGCUCACUCACCACUUACUCACUAACUCUCCCAGAGCAACUCCUAGCCCUGCAAACUUCAUUUAUAGUAAGUGCCCUAAUCAGGUAUACCAUUUUUGAUGUUUUGACUGGAUUUUUUACUGUACCUUUUUUUAUGUUUAGAUACACAAAUAUUUACCGUUGUGUUGCAGAUGCCUACAGUAUUCAGCACAGUAACAUGCUGUAUAGGUUUGUAGCCUAGGAUCAAUAGGCUGUACCACAUAACCUAGGGUGUCAGUUUCUUGGUCGGGAAUGAAAAUAGUGCCAACCUGUGAUACCUUCACUCUAAUUUUACUUUCUGAGGAAGUUUUCUGUAAUAGUUAUUUGGUGAUAAUUAUUAAUACUGGUGAG
Long non-coding RNA from Homo sapiens (human), 471 nucleotides. RefSeq lists it as uncharacterized. The record is from RefSeq and is a predicted model, not a curated record. Lineage: Eukaryota; Metazoa; Chordata; Mammalia; Primates; Hominidae. The transcript is spliced from 2 exons.